Molecule: long non-coding RNA, 2520 nt
Organism: Triticum dicoccoides
Lineage: Eukaryota; Viridiplantae; Streptophyta; Magnoliopsida; Poales; Poaceae
Exons: 3
Source: RefSeq, a predicted model, not a curated record
UCCCCAUCUCCCUUUCUCCCUCGAUCCCUUCUGUCCGCACCACCAGGCGCACCCACCCACAACCCACCAUGGAUCCCGCAUCCCUUCGGCGCUCCUCUCGUUGACCACCAUCGUCGCCUCCCCCAAGGCCACCGGCGCUGAUAUUCAAACCAUGGUCCUUUUUAGUGGAGAGGCGUUGAGGAGAUGGCAGUCUCCGUCGCCCUGUCGCGGAUCGUCACGGCCGCCAACGCCCAGCACCGCCUCCCUCGCCGCUGAUCAACGCCGCCACCAUGCCACGCACUGCCGCCACCCCGCCGUCCUCUCCCUGUGUCAACUUCCGCCACCACCGCGCAGAAACCAAUCGCCAUCACGCCCCCUCCCCAUUUACGCCCAGCCUCCCUCGCCACACGCGGCCUCCUGUGUAGCCAGCAUCAUGCCCAGCGUCGCCUCCCUCGCCGGCGCGCCUGCAGCCUCCACCAUAUUAUGGAGUCACCGCCGCUGCCACCGCCUUUCCAGGUCGUGCUUCCUGAUUGCAACAGUAAAGGGGGAUUGAAGCGGUCGUGAGGUCAAGGAGAGGGGAGGUCCAGGCAUUGGAGAGGAGGAAGAAGGUGGUGAAGGUUGUUCUGUUGCUGCUGAUCCUCCCCAGGCCAGACACGGCCAUGUUCUGUUGAUACUGAUCCUGUAUCACAGUGCCCACAAUAUGUUUGAGGUAAUGCCCACCAGGUUGCUUUUUGAUUAAUUAGUUCAAUUAUUACAUGGACAUGUGAAGAUACUUUAGUUUGAUCGAGUCCAGAUAAUUGAGUUCAAUCGAGUCAAAUGUGGAGGAGUAACAUCUACGUAUAGAAAUUGAUAAUAAGUAAUCCAAUGCCCGAUUCAGUUCUUAGUUCUUACGUCUACAUAUGCAUGCAAUGACUGAAUAUUAUGACGACCAGUUCAGGAUUCAGAGGUAGAGGAAUAGCCUGCAAGUGUGCACCGUUUCUGAUGCUUGCACGGCGAGUGCUCUUCCUGGCCACCGCCUCGGGCACCACCAAUGGCAUCGGGAAGUAUUCAUCCGCCAAACCAGCUGUGCAGGCACCCUCCUCCGAAACACUCUCAGCGAGCCCCCUCACCCAAUCCAGCAUUCCCGGCCAUGUACUCCCACUUCCUCUUCAACCCCCUCCCGUUGGGUCAGGCCUUCCUUCAAUUCGGCGGACAUUGAGUCGCCGCCUCGGCUCUAGACUCACUGGCGAGUGGACUGGCGAGGGAAGAUGACGGGAUGGAGAUUGAUCACUAUACGCAAAAGGUGGACCUACUUUGUUUUGUUAUUAGUAUUACCAACACUAAACUGCAUGCAUGGGAACUGGGAGUUUGAGACGGGCUUGCAGUAAGUUGUAAGCCGCGACCAUACAAUUUCAGUAUCUAUUCAUGUGUACGUCGGACCUAGACAAGGUUGGAGGGCAGGUAGAGGACCGGUGGUGCGUUAGGCAUGCAGCGUGUGUAACAACAGUCGACCACAGGUGGGCAGCACACUGUCACUAGGGAAGGAGAUGGUGGCAGUGUGUUUUGAUUAGCAGCAGGUGGCUCCAUGGUGGCCAGUGCAGCAGCGAGCUAGCGUGUUGCUGUGGGAAGAGGCAGAAAAAUUAAUCUGUUUGUGGUUGGACGAUGGAUUCCCGUUCCCUGGUAGGCAGCUAGCUCUUGAAAUAAUUUCAGCAAGAACAACAUCCUCAAUUUGGAGUGGUCUUAUUCGCUACUGCAUAUCUUGGACAUUUUCAAAUGUAGAGCAGAUUAACUAUAUAGUAGACACUGUGCUGUUGGUGUUUAACUGCUCAUGAGAUACGCGUCAAUAUUGCAAUCAACUCUGACUGCAAUUGUAUAGUCUCAAGGGCCUGCAUUCUAUAUUGAAGGUUCAACAUUGAAGCUGCUUGCAUUGAUCCGCAAUAGACCUUGACUUCAGCAAAAAAUGAGGUUUCAUGGUGGCAGUGCCUUCUUCUACAUGAUGGGAAUUUAACGGCAUUUUUUUUUGUUAAAUACUAGCUGGGUGUGUCGUCUAUUCACAGAUCAUGUAAUUUGACCAUCUCUUGCAGACAAAACACUCGGGGAAAGUUCCCAGCCGUGCACCUGUGACCGCUGGAGAGGCAUACUGUUUUAGGAAUGCAUGACAGACUGGUAGUGAGGAUAUUUGUAGAGGCUAUUUGCACCGUAGUUCAAGGCAGAUGAUAGAGUACAGGCGAGGCAACUCACUUAUAUUGGUACUCGUUUAAAUGGUUAUCUAUUCUGCCGGCAUAGUUACAUGCCAUAUUAAUUUCAGAAGAACAAUUUCUAAUUUAGUGUUGUGCUUGCAUGCAUUGUUAUGUCUAAAAAGAAAAUUCCAAACAAAAACAAAUAUAAAGUCACUGUUUGUCUUUACACACUGGAUAAUGAAUGUUUCAAUCACGCUAAAUUGAACCAAGGCUUUUAGAAUAAAUUGUGACCUCUAAGCUUGUGUGUAGUCAAUUACUAAAUGUGUAAUAUUAGCACAUAUUAGCAUGACUAUUUCUUAAAUGUGUAAUAACUUGAAACAUG